GAAAAAAAAAAAAAAAAAAAAAAAAAAAAGGUAGUACUUACUACAUCCAGGACUUAAUUUGUUGUUCAUGUAUUAUCAGUAGGAUUUACCAGAACAAACUAUUACCUAGAGAGCAGAGAUCAAGUACAAACAAAGAACUCAUAAUUGAGCAGAUGUGUCAAAAAGGCAAAUUAUAACACCCAGAAUUUCUAUCUAAAGCUAUAAUUGAAAGUAACUCUCAUAAAAAUGCUAUCCAGUGGAACUUUUUGCAAGAAGGGAAAUUGAGAUUACUACCAUUUCUGAAGGCUGCAUAAGUUUUAAUGUGAUUAAAACUGACAUCUGGUCUUCUCUCUCUGCUGUGCAUUGAGUUUCCUUCUUGUGAUCUUUUUGUAUGCUCACAUAUAUAUACUGGUAAUAAAGCUUUAUAGAGAUUAUCAGUGGUAAUUGCCAUUUGUAGCCUUUCAUGCCAGAAAUUUUGCUAAAUUUUCUGUAUUGCUCAAUGAUUAAUACUUCCAAUACAACAUGCAGAUACUGAGAAAAUAAUCUGAUUUUCUUUUUAUAAUCUUUAGUGUCAUUUCCAUUAGUCCCUGAUAAAGUAUGCCCUUUGUUACAGAAAAUAAAUAUUAAACACAUAAAAAAACAACAUUUUGGAAUGAUAAUCAUUUCAAAAAAUAUUGAAAGCUGAAAGAACAUGAUGUUUUCCUCUGCUGUAAUUACAGUAUUUUUUUUUCGAAAAUCUGAAGAACCAUUUUAUUUUUAUUUGACAUGGGUAAAGAAAAAAAAAAACAGAAAAACAGAAAAGAAAAUGUGUUAUCAGCUUGCUUGUCAACAGUGAAAAAACACAACAGGACAUAGUGUGAUGAAUCAGAAAUCUCUUUAGGUUUUUUAAUUUACUUUUUAAGUACUUGCAUUUCUCAUUUCUAUAAAGUUCUAUUUAAUGCCCUAUGCAAAGCCAUAUCAGUAAUAAAGUACAGUUUUGUAAGAAUGCAUAUAUCAUUCCUGUAGCAGUUAAUAUCCAUCUUUUAUUCUUUUGUUUGGACUUGUAAAUUUAAAUGCUUUUUUCAGUCAUUCUGCUGCAGUUAUUUUUUAACCAAACCACGUACAGAAAAGUUAAACAUAGAUGUGCACAUACACAUAUAAGUGCAGCACAGCUGACUAGGCAAGGGCACCAACCUAUUAACACUGAGAAAAUUCUGGACAUGAGAAUCCAACAGUCUGUAGCUGUUGUACACUUCUGAGAUGAUGAAUGUAUUAAAAUCUUCCUAAAUAUACUGAGAAUAAGAACCUAGAUUUGCAGCUUCAAAACCUUGAAAGUAAUUCAGAGUUAUAUUUUUGAAUUAAAGUUUAUGUUACAUUAUCCAUCUUUCAGUCUCUCCUUUCAUUACCACUGCAAUAUUUUCUCAUAUACUUCUGAAUAGUUUCACCUUGACCAAACUAGUAAACACUAGUUCUGAUAUAUCAGCUUAUUUCUCCCCACUGUAAACAAACUGCUCUUCAGGUGCAUUAAAAGUGUCAAAUGGAUUUCAACAUAUAUCUCUUCAUUACCCCAGAUUUGUGUGUAAAAAAUAAUAUUAAAAUAAUGCAUGCAAGUACUGGAGUAUUGGGUAAAAAAAAGGGUAGAUGAUAGUUUUUUUCAUUAAUCGUCUAUCAGAUUAAUCAUCCAUCUACUGGCUCUUUAAUUUCUUUCUUUCUUAAUUAUUUAUCUAUUUGUUUUCAGUUAUAAAACCCAAGGACUACCCUCCACUCCUCUUCUUUCAAGUUGAGUCAUAGAAGACUUCAACAAAGAUAUUGAAGAAUAUUAGAAGAGUCUUUAUAUUCCUUGGGAAGAUGUUGAAGGGAUCAGGAAUACAGGUUGUAUUCUCUUUGAUCUUCCUGGUUGGUGACUUACAUCUCUUUUGUCCUCGAACCUCUAGGUUAUGAGUGGGGGAGCAAAAUCCUUCAUACUGCAAGCAAAGAGUAAGUUCAAGACCACCUCAUGAAUGGUGGAAUGUGUACAAGUCUACAUGGCCUGAUGACAUGCACUCCAGGGUUCUGAAAAGAAAAAAAUGAAGGAGAAACCAUUUUGUGUUUGAAUAAAUUCCAGUAUUCUUUUGACA
Molecule: long non-coding RNA, 2075 nt
Filed under: Gallus gallus (chicken)
Lineage: Eukaryota; Metazoa; Chordata; Aves; Galliformes; Phasianidae
Description: lncRNA (ENSGALG00010006217.1)
Source: RNAcentral